Molecule: transfer RNA, 55 nt
Filed under: Correlophus ciliatus (crested gecko)
Lineage: Eukaryota; Metazoa; Chordata; Lepidosauria; Squamata; Diplodactylidae
Description: tRNA-Cys
Source: RNAcentral
AGCCCUGUAGUGAGCUACACGUCAAAUUGCAAAUUUGAAAGGGCCCCAUUCCUGG